UACAACUAUUCAGCAUGUCUGUUUCCCUGCC
This 31-nucleotide non-coding RNA is filed under the name Mus musculus (house mouse). Lineage: Eukaryota; Metazoa; Chordata; Mammalia; Rodentia; Muridae. The record is from RNAcentral.